Long non-coding RNA from Folsomia candida, 824 nucleotides. RefSeq lists it as uncharacterized. The transcript is spliced from 2 exons. The record is from RefSeq and is a predicted model, not a curated record. Lineage: Eukaryota; Metazoa; Arthropoda; Collembola; Entomobryomorpha; Isotomidae.
AAAUAAAAUCAAAAGUUGAAAUUAACAAUUGACAACAAAUUUCCUUUUAUGACCCUAGUUAUAAAUUAUUGGUACAUGUGAAGUAGUGGACAACCGUUCUCAGUAAAUUUACAAUUUAUUAUGAUGAUCAUUAAGAAUACGAAAUAAUGUAACAAUUAUUUAAUGUAACAAACCUUAGUGUAUCCCAGCACGUCAAAGUAACACAGAUAAUUUAAUAUAUAAAGCUCACGAUAUAAUGAGGAAGACAAUUAAAAAAAAUUCGGAGCCAACAGCAGCUGCCUGCCUUCUGGAUGAUCUGGCUGGACUACAAAAGCAACGAAUUGUUCCGUUCCCCCCAAAAACGCACACACAAACCUUUUGGCCGAAGAAGGAAGGCAAGGAUUGAAGUUGAGAGCAAUGCAAUUCUCAUUACAGGAAGCCAACGCACAUGCCAGCUUGUUAUCAGGCAGGCACCCUUACGUAUCUAUCUUUAACAGAGAAGGGUAUCCUCCUCCUCCUCCUAUUUAUUGUUACACGACGGUUGUUUAUUCGUGUUUAAUGUUUUCUGGUCAAACAGCAUAAGGACUGAGUCAUGCAUAAACAGCAAAUAACAAUGUGUCAUUCUCUGAUGUUGAGGUGCUGCAUAUAAUAAUGUGCUAAAUGUUAGUGGUGUGAAAUUCACACUGUGAAUAAGCUCACCGAUGAGACGAUCAUACCACCUCUGCUGCAUUGUUGUUUUACGAUAAAAGGAAGGAGCAAAUGAGAUCCGGGCAGUAAAAGUGGAGGUAAAGUGAUACGAUUUCGAGUCUUUUGGAUUUCUUGAAUAAACUAAAAGUAUUUAUGGA